GCCCUGAAGAUCGCAUUGAACAACCUGGAUAGCCACUCCACUCCUGACCUACCCAUGCAUUUCCAGAACUCCACCGGGAUUUCGUCAGGCCCAGUCGCUCGAUCCCUACUCAUCCUAUGCAAAGCCCCCAUGACCUCCUCCGUCCUAAUGCGCCUGCAGUACCCAAUGUCUCUAUGUUGCUCUGAAUGCCCCAACUCCCCUAGAUCUAUGUUACGA
RNAcentral lists this long non-coding RNA (216 nucleotides) under Nicotiana benthamiana. Its description in RNAcentral is "long non-coding RNA (NBEN_LNC025583)". The record is from RNAcentral. Lineage: Eukaryota; Viridiplantae; Streptophyta; Magnoliopsida; Solanales; Solanaceae.